This 258-nucleotide ribosomal RNA is filed under the name uncultured bacterium. RNAcentral's name for it is "partial 16S ribosomal RNA". It matches the Rfam family "Bacterial small subunit ribosomal RNA", at positions 96 to 354 of the family's 1533-position model. The record is from RNAcentral.
UGGCGGACGGGUGAGUAACACGUGAGCAACCUGCCUUCGAGAGGGGAAUAACGGCUGGAAACGGUCGCUAAUACCGCAUAACAUACCGGGAGGACAUCCUGCUGGUAUCAAAGAUUUAUCGCUCGAAGAUGGGCUCGCGUCCGAUUAGGUAGUUGGUGAGGUAACGGCUCACCAAGCCGACGAUCGGUAGCCGGACUGAGAGGUUGAACGGCCACAUUGGGACUGAGACACGGCCCAGACUCCUACGGAAGGCAGCAG